Molecule: ribosomal RNA, 460 nt
Filed under: uncultured bacterium
Lineage: Bacteria
Description: partial 16S ribosomal RNA
Rfam family: Bacterial small subunit ribosomal RNA
Source: RNAcentral
CCUACGGGUGGCAGCAGUGAGGAAUAUUGGUCAAUGGACGAAAGUCUGAACCAGCCAAGUAGCGUGAAGGAUGACUGCCCUAUGGGUUUUAAACUUCUUUUAUAUGGGAAUAAAAUGUUCCACGUGUGGGCUUUUAUAUGUACCAUAUGAAUAAGGAUCGGCUAACUCCGUGCCAGCAGCCGCGGUAAUACGGAGGAUCCGAGCGUUAUCCGGAUUGAGUGGGGUUAAAGGGAGCGUAGGUGGAUUGUUAAGUCAGUUGUGAAAGUUUGCGGCUCAACCGUAAAAUUGCAGUUGAGACUGGCAGUCUUGAGUACAGUAGAGGUGGGCGGAAUUCGUGGUGUAGCGGUGAAAUGCUUAGAUAUCACGAAGAACUCCGAUGGCGAAGGCAGCUCACUGGACUGCAACUGACACUGAGGCUCGAAAGUGUGGGUAUCAAACAGGAUUAGAUACCCGGGUAGUC